UAAUUUAACAUUCCGUUUCCCUAAUUGAACCUUCCUUUACCUCUCAUUCUGACUGAUUUUUCCCUACUGAUAAGCAGGUUUAAUUUAGCUCCCUAUUUGGAAAAUAUGUGUUAAAUCAACCUGUCCUACGCCUUAAUUUAGUACAGAUUCAACCAGUACAUGUAAGACAUGCUAGACUAUAUGAUUUGCUUUGAUUUAAGAAGGCUUACUUGAGCUCUAUUUAUUUACUAGCCUUCCAAUACUUGCUGUAUAUGUUUUUUAAUAUCGGCUUAGAAUCUUAUCUUUUGAAAACACUCAAAAGGCCCCAACCCUCUCUUCUUUAGGAUUAGUAGUCCCAUAUUUCUCAGGGGCUGAUAGGAUUGGGACGAGUAGUAGCAUGCAAUUAGUAACAAUGCUAUUACGUGCUUUAAUACCUUAACGGGGUAGGAAGGGUAGAAUGUGGAUAUGAUGACCGAUAUGAUAAUAUCAC
This 469-nucleotide long non-coding RNA is filed under the name Nicotiana benthamiana. RNAcentral describes it as "long non-coding RNA (NBEN_LNC022772)". Lineage: Eukaryota; Viridiplantae; Streptophyta; Magnoliopsida; Solanales; Solanaceae. The record is from RNAcentral.